Molecule: long non-coding RNA, 844 nt
Filed under: Gallus gallus (chicken)
Lineage: Eukaryota; Metazoa; Chordata; Aves; Galliformes; Phasianidae
Description: long non-coding RNA NONGGAT001175
Source: RNAcentral
GUUCCUACAGUGCUCUCGGGAUCCAUUUGGAAAUGGCACUGAACCUGGCCAGGAGUUAGUAAUAUUUUCAGUGAAUAAUCUCGUUUCUGUUAGCGACCUGAGAGCUUCGGGUGAUAAAACAGCCCACACAAGAACAUGCAGAAGCAGAAAAUGCAAGAUAAUGCGUGUGUGGGGUAAUGAGUACUUGCACCAUAAAUCAAGGAGCUCUCUGGCAGAGGACUGCGAAAAUACCCAGGCUUGUUAGUCAAUGGGGAAAGGAAGCUAACAGUUUAAAAUGCAGUUGCGAAGAGAGCCCCGCAAAUGUGACUGAUGUGUGUGAGGUCAAACCUCUGAGUUGCCUGUGAGACAUUACUGUGUCCUGGACUGACGAACCGUGUCCAGGAAAAGGAACCUGUACAGAAAUACACCCAGGAGGGUUACUGGAGCAGAGCAAAGCUUAUCUACAAGAAUACACUUGGAAUAUUUGUCUGGCUAAUGCGGCAAAAGCAAACGUGGAGGAGGGGGUAUGGCUGCUGGUAACAAAAAAGCAAGGGCAGAAUCAAGGAGUGGCCAUUCAAGCUAAUAAACAAGGUUGAUAGAACAGCGUAGAUCUAAAUUAGAGAAGCUGCUGACGGCUGGUUUCUGGUGAGGAGGGUGAUCGGAAUGAAGAUGCAACAGGAGUGCUCACACAGAACAGAUUCACGCCAGCUGGUCAGUGUGGAGAUGGUCAAGUUUCAUAGGCAGUGAAGCCUUUUGUCACUUAAUGAUAGUGGGAUGAUGCGUGCAGGGACAAAGGGAACAGAAAAAUGGGAUGCACGGGGACAGCUUUUAUGGCUUGGAAGAUGGUAAAGGAAGGGCAGAAUGG